This 494-nucleotide ribosomal RNA is filed under the name uncultured bacterium. RNAcentral's name for it is "partial 16S ribosomal RNA". It matches the Rfam family "Bacterial small subunit ribosomal RNA", at positions 29 to 523 of the family's 1533-position model. The record is from RNAcentral.
AUUGAACGCUGGCGGCAUGCUUUACACAUGCAAGUCGAACGGUAACAGGUUAAGCUGACGAGUGGCGAACGGGUGAGUAAUGCAUCGGAACGUGCCCGAUCGUGGGGGAUAACGCAGCGAAAGCUGCGCUAAUACCGCAUACGAUCUGAGGAUGAAAGCGGGGGACCGUAAGGCCUCGCGCGAUCGGAGCGGCCGAUGUCAGGAUUAGGUAGUUGGUGGGGUAAAGGCUCACCAAGCCAACGAUCGGUAGCUGGUCUGAGAGGACGACCAGCCACACUGGGACUGAGACACGGCCCAGACUCCUACGGGAGGCAGUAGUGGGGAAUUUUGGACAAUGGGCGAAAGCCUGAUCCAGCAAUGCCGCGUGCAGGAAGAAGGCCUUCGGGUUGUAAACUGCUUUUGUACGGAGCGAAAAGGCUCUCUCUAAUACAGGGGGCUCAUGACGGUACCGUAAGAAUAAGCACCGGCUAACUACGUGCCAGCAGCCGCGGUAA